UGAAUGUCAGGGUGAUCUGACUGCAACAUCUGUUACCCCACUGAUUACCAGCAUUGAUUCAGCUGAUCCGACUCAUCAAAUAGGUGUCACUUUCCUCCCACACCAAUCAGUGUUUUUGUAUCCCAAAGCUUCUCAGUCCAAGAGGGUAGCCUUCCCUGAACAGAGGUAAACCAGUUGAUCAGGGAUUGCACUCCUUCUUCCCAUUGGAACUUCCAAACAAAAUUUCAAAAACACUGAUAAUAUUAGUGAAAUGAAAUACUUAAUUGUGGGCCAGGUGGUGGUGCACCUGGUU
This is an unclassified non-coding RNA of Erinaceus europaeus (western European hedgehog), 292 nucleotides long. Its record names the gene 7SK. It matches the Rfam family "7SK RNA". Rfam says of the family: 7SK was discovered as an abundant small nuclear RNA in the mid-70s but a possible function has only recently been suggested. Two independent studies have found that 7SK RNA binds the CDK9/cyclin T complex (known as elongation factor P-TEFb). P-TEFb activates transcription by phosphorylating the C-terminal domain of RNA polymerase II. Lineage: Eukaryota; Metazoa; Chordata; Mammalia; Eulipotyphla; Erinaceidae. The record is from Ensembl.